ACUCCUACGGGAGGCAGCAGUGGGGAAUAUUGCACAAUGGGCGAAAGCCUGAUGCAGCGACGCCGCGUGAGGGAUGACGGCCUUCGGGUUGUAAACCUCUUUCAGCAGGGACGAAGCGCAAGUGACUGUACCUGCAGAAGAAGCACCGGCUAACUACGUGCCAGCAGCCGCGGUAAUACGUAGGGUGCGAGCGUUGUCCGGAAUUAUUGGGCGUAAAGAGCUUGUAGGUGGCUCGUUGCGUCGGGAGUGAAAACCCGCGGCUUAACCGCGGGCCUGCUUCCGAUACGGGCGGGCUAGAGUUCGGCAGGGGAGACUGGAAUUCCUGGUGUAGCGGUGGAAUGCGCAGAUAUCAGGAGGAACACCGGUGGCGAAGGCGGGUCUCUGGGCCGAUACUGACACUGAGAAGCGAAAGCGUGGGGAGCGAACAGGAUUAGAUACCCUGGUAGUCCACACCGUAAACGUUGGGAACUAGGUGUGGGGUCCAUUCCACGGGCUCUGUGCCGCAGCUAACGCAUUAAGUUCCCCGCCUGGGGAGUACGGCCGCAAGGCUAAAACUCAAAGGAAUUGACGGGGGCCCGCACAAGCGGCGGAGCAUGUGGCUUAAUUCGAUGCAACGCGAAGAACCUUACCUGGGCUUGACAUGUUCGGUCUACCUGCAGAGAUGUGGGGUGCUUUUGCGCCGUUCACAGGUGGUGCAUGGUUGUCGUCAGCUCGUGUCGUGAGAUGUUGGGUUAAGUCCCGCAACGAGCGCAACCCUCGUUCCAUGUUGCCAGCGCGUUAUGGCGGGGACUCAUGGGAGACUGCCGGGGUCAACUCGGA
This 819-nucleotide ribosomal RNA is filed under the name uncultured Actinomycetes bacterium. Its description in RNAcentral is "bacterial SSU rRNA". It matches the Rfam family "Bacterial small subunit ribosomal RNA", at positions 335 to 1167 of the family's 1533-position model. The record is from RNAcentral. Lineage: Bacteria; Bacillati; Actinomycetota; Actinomycetes.